Molecule: ribosomal RNA, 583 nt
Filed under: Fusarium oxysporum f. sp. albedinis
Lineage: Eukaryota; Fungi; Ascomycota; Sordariomycetes; Hypocreales; Nectriaceae
Description: LSU rRNA
Rfam family: Eukaryotic large subunit ribosomal RNA
Source: RNAcentral
AUAUCAAUAAGCGGAGGAAAAGAAACCAACAGGGAUUGCCCUAGUAACGGCGAGUGAAGCGGCAACAGCUCAAAUUUGAAAUCUGGCUCUCGGGCCCGAGUUGUAAUUUGUAGAGGAUACUUUUGAUGCGGUGCCUUCCGAGUUCCCUGGAACGGGACGCCAUAGAGGGUGAGAGCCCCGUCUGGUUGGAUGCCAAAUCUCUGUAAAGUUCCUUCAACGAGUCGAGUAGUUUGGGAAUGCUGCUCUAAAUGGGAGGUAUAUGUCUUCUAAAGCUAAAUACCGGCCAGAGACCGAUAGCGCACAAGUAGAGUGAUCGAAAGAUGAAAAGCACUUUGAAAAGAGAGUUAAAAAGUACGUGAAAUUGUUGAAAGGGAAGCGUUUAUGACCAGACUUGGGCUUGGUUAAUCAUCUGGGGUUCUCCCCAGUGCACUUUUCCAGUCCAGGCCAGCAUCAGUUUUCCCCGGGGGAUAAAGGCGGCGGGAAUGCGGCUCUCUUCGGGGAGUGUUAUAGCCCACCGUGUAAUACCCUGGGGGGGACUGAGGUUCGCGCAUCUGCAAGGAUGCUGGCGUAAUGGUCAUCAACG